RNAcentral lists this ribosomal RNA (373 nucleotides) under uncultured organism. RNAcentral describes it as "bacterial SSU rRNA". It matches the Rfam family "Bacterial small subunit ribosomal RNA", at positions 526 to 896 of the family's 1533-position model. The record is from RNAcentral.
CGUAGGAGGCGAGCGUUGUCCGGAUUCAUUGGGCGUAAAGAGCGCGCAGGCGGCUUGGUAAGUCGGAUGUGAAAACCCGAGGCUCAACCUCGGGCGUGCAUCCGAUACUGCUCGGCUAGAGGUAGGUAGGGGAGAUCGGAAUUCCUGGUGUAGCGGUGAAAUGCGCAGAUAUCAGGAGGAACACCGGUGGCGAAGGCGGAUCUCUGGGCCUUACCUGACGCUCAGGCGCGAAAGCUAGGGGAGCGAACUGGAUUAGAUACCCAGGUAGUCCUAGCUGUAAACGUUGGGUGCUAGGUGUGGGCGGAUGUCGACCCCGUCCGUGCCGAAGCUAACGCAUUAAGCACCCCGCCUGGGGAGUACGGCCGCAAGGCUA